RNAcentral lists this ribosomal RNA (406 nucleotides) under uncultured bacterium. RNAcentral's name for it is "partial 16S ribosomal RNA". It matches the Rfam family "Bacterial small subunit ribosomal RNA", at positions 29 to 526 of the family's 1533-position model. The record is from RNAcentral.
AUUGAACGCUGGCGGCAGGCCUAACACAUGCAAGUCGAGCGAGCGGCGGACGGGUGAGUAAUGUCUGGGAAACUGCCUGAUGGAGGGGGAUAACUACUGGAAACGGUAGCUAAUACCGCAUACCAUCGGAUGUGCCCAGAUGGGAUGCGCUAGUAGGUGGGGUAAAGGCUCACCUGGGCGACGAUCCCUAGCUGGUCUGAGAGGAUGAACAGCCACCCUGGACCUGAGAAACGGUCCAGACUCCUAAGGGAGGCAGCAGUGGGGAAUAUUGCACAAGGGGCGCAAGCCUGAUGCAGCCAUGCCGCGUGUAUGAAGAAGGCCUUCGGGUUGUAAAGCACUUUCAGCGGGGAGGCGUUACUCGCAGAAGAAGCACCGGCUAACUCCGUGCCAGCAGCCGCGGUAAUAC